UACGGAGGGUGCGAGCGUUGUCCGGAAUCACUGGGCGUAAAGGGCGCGUAGGCGGCCUGAUACGUCGGGGGUGAAAUCCUGCGGCUUAACCGCAGGGCUGCCUUCUAAACUGUCAGGCUCGAGCACAGUAGAGGCAGGUGGAAUUCCCGGUGUAGCGGUGGAAUGCGUAGAGAUCGGGAAGAACAUCAGUGGCGAAGGCGGCCUGCUGGGCUGUUGCUGACGCUGAGGCGCGACAGCGUGGGGAGCAAACAGG
RNAcentral lists this ribosomal RNA (253 nucleotides) under uncultured bacterium. Its description in RNAcentral is "partial 16S ribosomal RNA". It matches the Rfam family "Bacterial small subunit ribosomal RNA", at positions 524 to 776 of the family's 1533-position model. The record is from RNAcentral.